RNAcentral lists this ribosomal RNA (468 nucleotides) under uncultured bacterium. RNAcentral describes it as "partial 16S ribosomal RNA". It matches the Rfam family "Bacterial small subunit ribosomal RNA", at positions 28 to 507 of the family's 1533-position model. The record is from RNAcentral.
GACGAACGCUGGCGGCGUGCUUAAUACAUGCAAGUCGAACGGAAAGGCCCUGCUUUUGUGGGGAGCUCGAGUGGCGAACGGGGGAGUAUCACGUGAGUAACCUGCCCUUGAAUUUGGGGUAACUUCAGGAAACUGGGGCUAAUACCGGCUAGGAGACCCUGCUGCAUGGUGGGGGGUGGAAAGUUUCGGCGGUUGGGGCUGGACUCGCGGCUUAUCAGCUUGUUGGUGGGGUAGUGGCUUACCAAGGCUUUGGCGGGUAGCCGGCCUGGGAGGGUGACCGGCCACAUUGGGACUGGGGUACGGCCCAGACUCCUACGGGAGGCAGCAGUGGGGAAUAGUGCACAAUGGGCGGAAGCCUGAUGCAGCAACGCCGCGUGUGGGAUGACGGCCGUCGGGUUGUAAACCGCUUUCGCCUGGGACGAAGCGUGAGUGACGGUAAUGGGUAAAGAAGCACCGGCUAACUACGUG